RNAcentral lists this ribosomal RNA (254 nucleotides) under uncultured bacterium. RNAcentral's name for it is "partial 16S ribosomal RNA". It matches the Rfam family "Bacterial small subunit ribosomal RNA", at positions 524 to 776 of the family's 1533-position model. The record is from RNAcentral.
UACGUAGGGUGCGAGCGUUGUCCGGAAUUAUUGGGCGUAAAGAGCUCGUAGGCGGUCUGUCGCGUCGAUCGUGAAAACUUGGGGCUUAACCCUGAGCUUGCGGUCGAUACGGGCAUGACUGGAGUUCGGCAGGGGAGACUGGAAUUCCUGGUGUAGCGGUGAAAUGCGCAGAUAUCAGGAGGAACACCGGUGGCGAAGGCGGGUCUCUGGGCCGAUACUGACGCUGAAGAACGAAAGCUAGGGGAGCAAACAGG